GACGUAGGGCGCGAGCGUUGUCCGGAUUUAUUGGGCGUAAAGAGCUCGUAGGCGGUUCGGUUAGUCGGGUGUGAAAACUAUGGGCUCAACCCAAAGCGUGCACUCGAUACUGCCGUGACUAGAGUUCGGUAGGGGAGUGGGGAAUUCCUAGUGUAGCGGUGAAAUGCGCAGAUAUUAGGAGGAACACCGGUGGCGAAGGCGCCACUCUGGGCCGAAACUGACGCUGAGGAGCGAAAGCAUGGGGAGCGAACAGG
Molecule: ribosomal RNA, 254 nt
Filed under: uncultured bacterium
Lineage: Bacteria
Description: partial 16S ribosomal RNA
Rfam family: Bacterial small subunit ribosomal RNA
Source: RNAcentral